GAUGAAGAACGCAGCGAAAUGCGAUAAGUAAUGUGAAUUGCAGAAUUCAGUGAAUCAUCGAAUCUUUGAACGCACAUUGCGCCCGCCAGUAUUCUGGCGGGCAUGCCUGUUCGAGCGUCAUUACAACCCUCAGGCCCCCGGGCCUGGCGUUGGGGAUCGGCUGAGCCCCCCGUGGGCACACGCCGUCCCCCAAAUACAGUGGCGGUCCCGCCGCAGCUUCCAUCGCGUAGUAGCUAACACCUCGCGACUGGAGAGCGGCGCGGCCACGCCGUAAAACACCCAACUCUUCUGAAGUUGACCUCGAAUCAGGUAGGAAUACCCGCUGAACUUAAGCAUAUCAAUAAGCGGAGGA
RNAcentral lists this unclassified non-coding RNA (352 nucleotides) under soil metagenome. Its description in RNAcentral is "partial contains 5.8S ribosomal RNA, internal transcribed spacer 2, and large subunit ribosomal RNA". The stretch from base 1 to 120 matches the Rfam family "5.8S ribosomal RNA", at positions 35 to 154 of the family's 154-position model. The record is from RNAcentral.